CCUACGGGAGGCAGCAGUGGGGAAUCUUGCGCAAUGGGCGAAAGCCUGACGCAGCAACGCCGCGUGCGGGAAGAAGGCUUUCGGGCUGUAAACCGCUUUCAGCAGGAACGAAAAUGACGGUACCUGCAGAAGAAGGAGCGGCCAACUAUGUGCCAGCAGCCGCGGUGAUACAUAGGCUUCAAGCGUUGUCCGGAUUUAUUGGGCGUAAAGAGUUCGUAGGCGGUCGAGUAAGUCGGGUGUGAAAAUUCUGGGCUCAACCCAGAGACGCCACCCGAUACUGCUUGACUUGAGUUCGAUAGGGGAGUGGGGAAUUCCUAGUGUAGCGGUGAAAUGCGCAGAUAUUAGGAGGAACACCGGUGGCGAAGGCGCCACUCUGGAUCGAUACUGACGCUGAGGAACGAAAGCAUGGGUAGCAAACAGGAUUAGAUACCCUGGUAGUCCAUGCUGUAAACGGUGGGCACUAGGUGUGGGUUUCUAUUAACGAAAUCCGCGCCGUCGCUAACGCAUUAAGUGCCCCGCCUGGGGGAGGUACGGUCGCGAGAACUAAACUACAAGAAGUAGACGGCGNGAGACGUGCCGACGGACGACGACGAGGGAGGUAGG
Molecule: ribosomal RNA, 603 nt
Filed under: uncultured bacterium
Lineage: Bacteria
Description: bacterial SSU rRNA
Rfam family: Bacterial small subunit ribosomal RNA
Source: RNAcentral